UAACGCGUGAGUAACCUGCCUCUAAGAGGGGAAUAACAUUCUGAAAAGAAUGCUAAUACCGCAUAACAUAUAUUUAUCGCAUGGUAGAUAUAUCAAAGAUUUAUCGCUUAGAGAUGGACUCGCGUCCGGUUAGUUAGUUGGUGAGGUAACGGCUCACCAAGACCGCGAUCGGUAGCCGGACUGAGAGGUUGAACGGCCACAUUGGGACUGAGACACGGCCCAG
This 223-nucleotide ribosomal RNA is filed under the name uncultured bacterium. RNAcentral's name for it is "partial 16S ribosomal RNA". It matches the Rfam family "Bacterial small subunit ribosomal RNA", at positions 111 to 334 of the family's 1533-position model. The record is from RNAcentral.